Molecule: ribosomal RNA, 378 nt
Filed under: uncultured cyanobacterium
Lineage: Bacteria; Bacillati; Cyanobacteriota
Description: bacterial SSU rRNA
Rfam family: Bacterial small subunit ribosomal RNA
Source: RNAcentral
CGAAAGCCUGACGGAGCAACGCCGCGUGGGGGAAGAAGGUUCUUGGAUUGUAAACCCCUUUUCUCAGGGAAGAAAACUGACGGUACCUGAGGAAUAAGCCUCGGCUAACUCCGUGCCAGCAGCCGCGGUAAUACGGAGGAGGCAAGCGUUAUCCGGAAUUAUUGGGCGUAAAGCGUCUGCAGGUGGCAAUUCAAGUCUGCUGUCAAAGCACGGGGCUUAACUCCGUUAAGGCAGUGGAAACUGAAUAGCUAGAGUGCCGUAGGGGUAGAGGGAAUUCCCGGUGUAGCGGUGAAAUGCGUAGAGAUCGGGAAGAACAUCGGUGGCGAAAGCGCUCUACUGGACGGCAACUGACACUCAGGGACGAAAGCUAGGGGAGCG